This 236-nucleotide ribosomal RNA is filed under the name uncultured bacterium. RNAcentral describes it as "partial 16S ribosomal RNA". It matches the Rfam family "Bacterial small subunit ribosomal RNA", at positions 118 to 347 of the family's 1533-position model. The record is from RNAcentral.
UGAGCAAUCUGCCCUUCUCAUCGGAAUAAGCGUUGGAAACGACGUCUAAUGCCGAAUACGACCUCCUUUCGCAUGAUCGGAGGUGGAAAGCUCCGGCGGAGAAGGAUGAGCUCGCGGCCUAUCAGCUAGUUGGUGUGGGUAAUGGCCCACCAAGGCGACGACGGGUAGCCGGCCUGAGGAGGGUGACCGGCCACACUGGGACUGAGACACCGGCCCAGACCUCCGUACGGGAGCAG